AUACGGAGGGUGCGAGCGUUAAUCGGAAUUACUGGGCGUAAAGGGCGCGCAGGCGGUUUGGUAAGUCAGAUGUGAAAGCCCACGGCUCAACCGUGGAAGUGCAUUUGAAACUGCCAGACUUGAGUACCAGAGGGGAAAGUGGAAUUCCCGGUGUAGAGGUGAAAUUCGUAGAUAUCGGGAGGAAUACCGGUGGCGAAGGCGACUUUCUGGCUGGAUACUGACGCUGAGGCGCGAAAGCGUGGGGAGCAAACAGGAUUAGAAACCCUUGUAGUCC
RNAcentral lists this ribosomal RNA (274 nucleotides) under uncultured bacterium. RNAcentral describes it as "partial 16S ribosomal RNA". It matches the Rfam family "Bacterial small subunit ribosomal RNA", at positions 523 to 796 of the family's 1533-position model. The record is from RNAcentral.